RNAcentral lists this ribosomal RNA (460 nucleotides) under uncultured bacterium. RNAcentral's name for it is "partial 16S ribosomal RNA". It matches the Rfam family "Bacterial small subunit ribosomal RNA", at positions 338 to 795 of the family's 1533-position model. The record is from RNAcentral.
CCUACGGGUGGCAGCAGUGAGGAAUAUUGGUCAAUGGACGAGAGUCUGAACCAGCCAAGUAGCGUGAAGGAUGACUGCCCUAUGGGUUGUAAACUUCUUUUAUAAAGGAAUAAAACGAGGCACGUGUGCCUUUUUGCAUGUACUUUAUGAAUAAGGAUCGGCUAACUCCGUGCCAGCAGCCGCGGUAAUACGGAGGAUCCGAGCGUUAUCCGGAUUUAUUGGGUUUAAAGGGAGCGUAGAUGGGUUGUUAAGUCAGUUGUGAAAGUUUGCGGCUCAACCGUAAAAUUGCAAUUGAUACUGGCAGUCGUGAGUACAGUUGAGGUAGGCGGAAUGCGUGGUGUAGCGGUGAAAUGCUUAGAUAUCACGAAGAACUCCGAUUGCGAAGGCAGCUUACUAAACUGCCACUGACAUUGAUGCUCGAAAGUGUGGGUAUCAAACAGGAUUAGAUACCCCUGUAGUC